RNAcentral lists this ribosomal RNA (497 nucleotides) under uncultured bacterium. RNAcentral's name for it is "partial 16S ribosomal RNA". It matches the Rfam family "Bacterial small subunit ribosomal RNA", at positions 28 to 507 of the family's 1533-position model. The record is from RNAcentral.
GAUGAACGCUGGCGGCGUGCCUAAUACAUGCAAGUCGAGCGAACGGACGAGAAGCUUGCUUCUCUGGUGUUAGCGGCGGACGGGUGAGUAACACGUGGAUAACCUACCUAUAAGACUGGGAUAACUUCGGGAAACCGGUGCUAAUACCGGAUAAUAUUUUGAACCGCAUGGUUCAAGAGUAAAAGACGGUCUUGCUGUCACUUAUAGAUGGAUCCGCUCUGCAUUAGCUAUUUGGUAAGGUAACGGCCUACCAAGGGAACGAUCCAUAGCCGACCGGAGAGGUUGACCGGCCAAUCUGGAAUUGAGAAACGCUCCAGCUCCCUACGGGAGGAAGAAUAAGGGAUUCUUCGGAAAUGGGCGAAAGCCUGACGGAGAAACGCGGCGUGAGGGAUGAAGUUUUUCGGAUCGUAAAAUCCGGUUAUUAGGGAAGAACAUAGGUGUAAGUAACUGUGCACAUCGUGACGGUACCUAAUCAGAAAGCCACGGCUAACUACGUG